CUCCUUAGCUGGGAGGGAAGACUGAGAUCAGAAAUGGGGCCUUCCCGGGUAAGGAUAUUAAUUGAACUCCAGGUGUGCUGACUCUGGGGACUCACCUGGAUGUGGAGAAGCUGACUGUAUAAUUUAUAGUGAAAACUGAAUUUACACCUUCAAA
RNAcentral lists this small nuclear RNA (154 nucleotides) under Junco hyemalis (dark-eyed junco). RNAcentral describes it as "U1 spliceosomal RNA (ENSJHYG00000012915.1)". The record is from RNAcentral. Lineage: Eukaryota; Metazoa; Chordata; Aves; Passeriformes; Passerellidae.